GGCCUUCUGUCUGUCCCUCCUCAUGUCCUCACUUCCCUUUCUUUAUCUCCACAGCCUGCGCUCAUGUGGUCUCACCACUGAAUGCUGCUCAUCUCUCUCCUCAGUCCUCUCUUGUCCACACUCACAGCUGACUGAACUGGACCUGAGCGGAAACAACCUGGGAGAUUCAGGAACUCAUCACCUGUGUGAGGUUUUGCGGACCACCAGCUGUAAAUUAAAGUCACUGUGGCUGAAGUUUAAUAAUGUCAAGGCGAGUGGGAAGAAGAACCUGAGGUCAUUACAGGAUGAGCUGAACAGGAAUGUGCAGAAGGUGAAUAUUUACAUAUGGUGAAGACUGGACAUGCUGACCAACUGACCCCUGUGACGGUGCCCCCUGUCCACUCCCUCUAAAUUCUCCUCUUUAUUCUUUAAUAACCUCCUCAGCUCUCCUUCACAUUUAAUAAACUCUCCAUAUCUUCUUCUCA
Molecule: long non-coding RNA, 464 nt
Organism: Polypterus senegalus (gray bichir)
Lineage: Eukaryota; Metazoa; Chordata; Cladistia; Polypteriformes; Polypteridae
Exons: 2
Source: RefSeq, a predicted model, not a curated record